ACACUGAGCACUGGGCCUGCCUUCUUCCUAACACAGGUUUUUGUAAGCUCCAGACAUUGGAUAAAGCAUUUUGAGGGAUAGGUGAAAACGAAAUCCUGCCCUUUACUCUUGAGAACUCACUCUGCUGUGGGAGGAGAGACAGGCAGCCACCAGGUGCAAUCUCCAACAUGUGCGGGCUUUGGGAAAACACAAUCGGGCAAGUGAAGUUUGUUGCAGACAAGUUCUUCUUCCCCUCUGCCACAACCUCCUCCAAGGUUACAGGGAGAGCACCCUGUCUGUGAAGAAGCAGGUUCUCAUCUGAUACCAAAUCUGCUGGCACCUUGAUCUUGGACUUCCCAGACUCCAGGACUGUGAGUAACACAUUUGUGUUGUUUACAAGCUGCUCAGAAGGUGGUAAAUUGUGAUAGCAGGCCAAAUGGACCACGACAGGGUAUAAGUUGUUUUAUCCCCAUUUUAUAGAAGAGGUAAACAGGCUCAGGAUGAGCACAGGCCAAAACCGCCUAAUGAAUAUUAGCAACCAGAUAUUUCCUGGCACACAGUCCACACCAAGUAAAUGUUUGAGCGGCUGUUGAGCUGAAUCAUUGUUUAAUUUUUGUCUUUCCACCACAGGAAGAUCACAGAUUGACAUCAGCAGGAAAACUUGCCAGGCAGCAGGAGGAUCCAUUUGAAAACUCACGAGAAAAAGGCCCUUGAGGCCUUUUUCCUGGUUAUUGAAGACAUCUUAGGAAACACUUAUGGUGACAAUUAAUCAAGCAAAAAUAGAUCCAGUUUUUCUGAAGAUCAAGCUUAACAUGUGUGCCAUGCUUUAAAAUGUCUUUCCAGGCACUCUCUCCUGCCCACGGAUCUUGCUUGGGAAAGGAAUGGGGCAAGUGGAAAUGGCCAUUUCUUAGAUGAACACAUCAGGGACUUGCUCCAGUCUGAAGUCUAUACAGAGCUAGGCUUUGAAUCCAGUCACGUAACUGCAUAGCAGCAAAUCAGCCUUUCAGAAUAUUGCAGGAUCAGCAAUGAAAUUCCCUUUGCCAGAGAAAUGGACAAACAAGGAAGCAACAAUGGUGAUGGUGGAAGUGUUCUUCAAGUCUAAGUUUGGGUUCUAGAAACAUCUGGCCAAAUAACGUCUUUCACAACUAAAAUAGAAUAUAAAGAAGCCAUUUGACCUGCCUCAGUUAUCAUGGUCAUCAUGACAAGCUGCAGCAGGACAAAUCAGCUUAACAAUUUCGGAAACUGCCAGAAAUGCUAUUUGGAUUAAUUUUUAUUUGGGAGUUGGCUAAAACUGGUCACAUCCCCAAAUACCUCAAGAUAAACAACAUAGCAUUAUCAUACAAAUCUAUAUUCACCAAAUUAGGUUAAAAUAGGCUGUUUUGAGAAGGUUGAAUUUUUUUAUGGGGAUUAUUCCCAAAAUACGUUUAGACACAAGAAGUUCAACUUUUCUUUUUUCCAUAUUUGAUGUCAAUCAAACUAAUUACUACAUGUUUGGAAUUGCAUUAAUUGUAUUCUUCAGUUACCUAUAAAAUUUAAUUAUCAUGUCUUUAUGGAAAUUUUAAUAUCAGAUAUAAAGAAUGGCAUAUUUAAAAUGACAUUUUAAUACUUUAUAAGAAGCAACAGAAAUUCGACUUCCAAAGCACCUCUCAGUACUACCAUUGGAGUACAUCUAUAUUUUUCUGUCAGAAUACUAUCCAAAGCAAGCAUAAGUAAUCCUUAUUUUCACGAUACAUUGAUGCUCAAAAGUUGUGUGUUCAGCAUGUCUACAAAGUAAAUUACCGUAUAUUUGAAACAGCAGACUAAAACUGAAGUAACAUCUGGAAAAAAUUGCCCUAAUUGCUAGCCCCUAAAUUCAUCUGACCUUGACACUCUCAUCUGAAUUUAAAAGUGUUUUAAAUUCUUAGCCAAUCAAUUCAAGCCAGAACUGAAUUCAUAUGUCUUCAGAAACUGCUAAUCUAGAACAAUGUAACUAGAAUAGAUUCCUGAUCAAACUUUGGUUUUGUUCAGGUAUCCACUCAUUUCCUAGGUGACCCAGAGGCCACAACUCACAACUCCACCCCUUCCCGUGGCUGGUCCAGGCUGUGCAGAUCUUGUAGUCACAAAGUCCUGGCAAUGGGCUGGGGGUGGGAUCUGACCUAGUGCUGACCAACAUGUCAAAAACAGAUGGCUGCAGAACCCUCUGGAAAAGCUUCCCUCAUUCUUAAGGAAUCCUGUGAAGAGAUGGUCUGUUUCUGUCCUGUUCCCUGGAUGUCAAAUGUCUGGGUUUGAGACCCAGAACUCCUGAAGCCAUCUCACAACUACAAGGGGAGCAGAUGUAGCCACUGAGGAUGGCCAAGCAGAGGGAGGGAGGACCUUUCCUGCCAGCAUCGCCAGCGGCUGAAUCACAGCCCAGAACCCCACAGCACCCUAAACGUCCUCUUAACAAAUGUAAUACGUUGUCUUACUGUUUGUGCCUGUGUGAAAAGUCCUCUUUGCUUGCAGUGAAGGCAUCCUAGUUGAUAAACAUGAAAUUUGAAAAUUGGA
RNAcentral lists this long non-coding RNA (2502 nucleotides) under Homo sapiens (human). RNAcentral's name for it is "novel transcript". Lineage: Eukaryota; Metazoa; Chordata; Mammalia; Primates; Hominidae. The record is from RNAcentral.